ACACUGUAAAAUCCAAUAGCUGUCUUAACUUGAAAGACAUGAGUUAGCUGUAGUUGGGUAUCAAUAAUUUGUGCUUCUUAAUUGGUUUUCGAAAGUAAAGGUUAAUUUCAUGGUGAAAAAAAGCUACUUACUUAUUGUUUUAAGUGAAUAUAACUUUGUUUGAAGUCUUCUUAACUUGCUUAGAGCGACUAAUUUGGAGCAUGCGCAAUAGAAGCCACGCCCACCAACGUUCAGUCUCCUGCUCAGGACCGUUAGUGGUGCCGAUAGGACUGUGCCGACACAUUUUCUGUAGAUUUCAUCGCAUGUGGAACAAUAAGAAGUGCUUGUGGCAACUGCCUUGAGGGAUCUUCACAGCUGCUUUGGCAGUUGGCCUCAGUACACGGGAGGAGGGUCCUUAUCAACAGCUUUCCCACUGCGGAGACGGGAGAUUGUGGAGGCUGAACCUCCAGUGAAAACCCUGAAAGAACGCUGGCCAGCUCUUUUUACAGAGAGACAAGUGUUUGCUGAGUUCAACAGAAUAGCUACAACAAACCUGGAGAAUGACUUUUUUGGUGCUGUUGACCGCUACACACCACACUUUGUCACCAUCUUCAAGUCCAAGAAAGGAAGUGUUGGAGAGAAACUGGCUGAGAUUGUGCAGCAAAUUGAUUCAAGGAAACCAGAUGUGACAGCAGUGCGUACCCUUGUUCUCCAAGGCAUCCCUGUUCUGCUUGGUGAUGACCCUAGUAACUUCUACAACACCUCCUUUGAUUCUGACAGUCAGGAGGCCUGGGCCCAGGUAUCUGUUGGGUUGCUGACUAUCAUCAGUGAAGAUGCGCCUAUCUCUCCAAAUCAUCUCCAUCUUGACCCGGUCUCUACUGCCAUCAUUCUUGAAGGAGGUAUUGUAAUGGACAGUCUCCAGAACCUACCUCAAGCACUGUGCCUCUUGUUUGGGUUGUCCUAUGCACUGCACUUGGACUACCCUAAAACCAUGAAAAACACAUUCAACUUCAUUCAACGAGUGAUGCUUGGCCUGGGAGGCAACAAACUCCCCCCCAAACUUCAAACUCUUAAAAAUCUCCUGUUGAGUUAGGAUGGUAAAAAUCAAUAGUGACAUUUGGAAUACAGUUUUGUUUAUAAAAGUGAGUCCAGCUGCUUUUAAUUGUUAAGUAAAUAAAGGCACUCCUUUCAUAUUGUUUUAUAUCAGCCCCCGGGUCCAUCAGCAAGUUACAUUUAGAGGCUGCAGGUGUAUGGUCAUUCAUACAUGCGUUAAAUUGGUUGCCAUAGUUAUAAACUAACUGGAUGUCACCUGUACUUAGGGUUAGGCAGAUUGAUUCUGUCAGCACUUGAUUCUUUACCAAGUUUGGUCUUUAAACUUUGUUAUUACAAAAGUAAAGCACUUGUUCAGGAUUAUCUUAAAAUAAAGGUCAGGGUUGGAAUUUUCUUUCCAAAAAUGACAAAUUUAUGUCUUUUUAUAAAGCCAAAUAAAUUGGUUGCCUAUUAUUACUGGAAUAUUAUUGAAGAACACUUUUGUUACCGAUGUGUCUAUAGGUAGAUAGGCAAACAGUCAGUCCAACAGAGUUCGUUGUUCACACCCCUUGGUGUUGCUUUCACUCUGUACUUGAAAAGAAAAAAGUUUUUAUUUUUUAUGUUGUAUAGUUUUUAUUGUAUAUGCAGUGAAAUAGGCAUGUGUGUGUUCUGGUUCUGUGAGAAGAGAUAUUCUGUGGUUGGCACUAAUACCUUGACAUUGAUAAUUUUAGUCUGAAUGUUGUCUUCAAGUGGUACUGAUCACUUAUAGUAAUGAUUAACAUUUUAAUCUCCUCAAAACCAAUUAGUAUCUCUACCAGCUGUCUCAGGUGCAGAUUCGACUGUGAGUAUAUUUCCCAAAAUUCAUACUCCUGUAAAUAAUCCGGUAAAAAAAACAAUUACUUAGCAGUGAAGUCAAGAAUUCAUGGGCCAAAAUUUGACUGAAAUUACAGGGUGUAUCUGGGCCAAGCACACGAUAAUAAUAUUUAAGAUGAUAAAAUACAUUCAGAAUGAAAUUACAAAUGUCAAAGUAAUGCAUACUUCAUACCAGAUUCAAAUGGUUUUAAGUCUUUGAUUUUAACAUUGUAAACUAAAUGACAAUGGUUGAGGUUUAAGGAAUAAACCUGUUUCAACUAAA
Long non-coding RNA from Fundulus heteroclitus (mummichog), 2143 nucleotides. RefSeq lists it as uncharacterized. The transcript is spliced from 6 exons. The record is from RefSeq and is a predicted model, not a curated record. NCBI's taxonomy places the organism in Eukaryota, Metazoa, Chordata, Actinopteri, Cyprinodontiformes, Fundulidae.